Molecule: ribosomal RNA, 253 nt
Filed under: uncultured bacterium
Lineage: Bacteria
Description: partial 16S ribosomal RNA
Rfam family: Bacterial small subunit ribosomal RNA
Source: RNAcentral
UACGAAGGGGGCUAGCGUUGCUCGGAAUCACUGGGCGUAAAGCGCACGUAGGCGGACUCUUAAGUCGGUGGUGAAAUCCUGGAGCUCAACUCCAGAACUGCCUUUGAUACUGGGAGACUUGAGUCCGGGAGAGGUGAGUGGAACUGCGAGUGUAGAGGUGAAAUUCGUAGAUAUUCGCAAGAACACCAGUGGCGAAGGCGGCUCACUGGCCCGGUACUGACGCUGAGGUGCGAAAGCGUGGGGAGCAAACAGG